Molecule: long non-coding RNA, 1801 nt
Filed under: Lathyrus oleraceus (garden pea)
Lineage: Eukaryota; Viridiplantae; Streptophyta; Magnoliopsida; Fabales; Fabaceae
Description: Pisum sativum (pea) long non-coding RNA (PSAT_LNC019423)
Source: RNAcentral
UGCAUUUCGUUGGUUCACUCAUAAUGCAUUAAUUCUUAUUAUGGAUUCUUUAGUUCACUAUUUAAAGUCGUUAAACUUUGGUCCAUAUUCAUGAUCAUUUGGUUUAGUAAUAUGGUUUCAUCCAUUUCAUGUUACAUGUUCAUAAGCAUUUCAAAUGUGUUUUUUGGUGAGAAACUUUGUUUGAAUCUCAAUAAAGGAACCCUUUUGUUCAUUGAUUACAUCACCGAUAAAUUACAAAAUAUAUAUAUAUAAUUUUGACCAAAGUCAACACUUUCUUUUUACUAAGAAAACCAAUCCUCAUAAUUUUCGUUCAUUUACUAUGCUUGCACCCAUGUAAUUGGUAUUCCAUAAUUUGAAUUGGUUACAAAAUGUAUCACUGUAUGAUCAUGUCCAUACAAAGAAAUUCCCUAAUUCUAUUCCAUAACUUGGUUUGAACCACAAGAAAAAAGGAAUAAAACUUUCAUUUUGGUAGCCCAUCCUGGUAUCUCCAAAGACCUCCAUCCGCUCCCUUCGGUCGUACCAUCCUAAGCUCAUUAUAGGGCUGCAAACAUACCAAAAUCAAGUCACAAUUUGAGUCAAGACAAACAAUUCCCAAGCAUGAUAGUUCAGGGGGUUUUCAUUCUGUUAACCCUGGAUCCCUAUAUAAGGCCUCAUCACUACAUAUUCAGGGGUUCUUCAUUUUUGUUCCUAAAUUCAGUUUCUAACAGAAAAGUUCAUUCUGAAUCUCUCCAUCAUUCUUCAUACUCACCAUACGCUCCUUCCAUUAUUGUGAGAGCUUCAACAUUUGGAGCUCUGCACAGUGGAGCUUUGAGCCUCCAUCAGUCAUCACCAUCAUUUCAGAAUGCAAACCUCAACUACUCUCGUUUGUAUUUCGCCCUCACGCGCAAGUUUAACAGAGGAAUGAAGAAGAAAGGAAGAAGGAGAGUGAAGUAAUCGGAAAUUAAGCAUAACAAUGAAAAGAGGAGCUUAUUACCUGAUUUGAAGCCUUCCUGAUCCAUCUUCUUCAAUCCAUUUAUAUCGCCGGAGCAAAACUCCGAUUUUGGGGUAAGUUCAUUGUUUCUUUUCGUCAUAAAAUUGAUACCAUAUCGUAGUAUUCUUGCAGAGAAGCAUUUGCUCUAAGGCGUAAGACUAAAUCGGGCGUCGAUGGCUAUUUAAUUUCUUUUUAUGUUUUAGGGUUCUUGAGCAUUUUUUUAUGAUUCGAGGUCGAGGUCAGAAAUUCAUGGAAAUAAGGGAGGGAUUUAGAAUAAGGAGAUGGACAAGAGUGUUUUGGGUAGUCAAAAUUCCAUGAUUGGGACUGCUCCGCCGUCUCCGGCGCGGCGGAGCCUCUAUCUUCGGUGAGACCUGUUUAAUUUGAGAAAGGAGAGUGAUAUUUCGAUCACGUGUUUGUGUGAGGACUGAAUGUGUUGUUGCUUCAGGUUUUUCCUUUUGGUAUUGUUUGGGCUUGAGAAAUCCAGGCCCAUUGGCCUUUACUCCUUCGCCUGCCUGGUUUCAUCGCUACACCCCCUAGAUUACAUGGAUCUCAGUUGGACGGGUUUGACGGGCCUCUUCCUUGAGGCCCAUCCAUAAUCCCUUAAUCAAACCCAGUUCAUGGGCCUGGACCCCUAUGCUUUCAAUCAUGUUCUAUCUUAAUUAAUUUUCACUUGAUUUGUUAAAUCUUUAGGAUUGACAUAUUUAAUUUCACUUAGUAGAUUAGUUAUUUGAUGGUGGUUAAUGAAUUAAUUUGUUUUAAUUAUUUAAUUAUGAAAUUAAUUAAUUUUAAUUAAUAGAUAAUAUUGAUUAAUGUGAUUAAUAUGUUUUCUUG